AAGAAAAUUAAAAAGACCCUUUCUUUUUCUAAUUUGUGGGCGCAAUUUCUUCAGAAGAGGAAGUUAAUCGACGAGGAGUUGAGCCAUAAACGAGCGCUACACUUAGAAGCUACCAGCUCGGUAUUUGUUGAAAAUUUUCCCAAUCUUUUUUGUUUUAGGGAGUUUAGGGCUUGAGAUCUGGAAUUGUUUGCAGAGAUUGAGAAAGAAUUGAGAACGACCGGUUGCGAUCUGAGAUAAUUGAGUUGCAAACAAGGUACGAUGAAAGCCAGAAGCUAGUGGUUGAAGAGAGCAAGAACAGCAUUAAGCUCUUAAUCUUAGAGGUUCCAUCUGCUGCAACAACUGUUUGUUGAUAUUGUGUUGAAAAUUGACCAUCGUGCUCAAGGUGAUUCAAAACCUCGUAAAGUAGGACUUCUUGAACCAAGGAGAGAAAGCUACAAUGAGAAAUACAAAGUAAAAGUGUGUAAGCAUUAGAAAUAAACGCUCAUUUGAAUCAGAUGUAAAAGUUUUAAAGAAACUAGUACGGGAGCAAUUUAAGCAUGACACUAUAUAAUGGGGAAUUAUUAAUUCUUAUUGCUUUGUAUUUGUUGGAUAUUUUGGAUCUUUGGUUUGUUGAAUUGUUAUAUGCAAUAUUUAAAGUUUUUUA
Molecule: long non-coding RNA, 643 nt
Organism: Asparagus officinalis (garden asparagus)
Lineage: Eukaryota; Viridiplantae; Streptophyta; Magnoliopsida; Asparagales; Asparagaceae
Exons: 4
Source: RefSeq, a predicted model, not a curated record